Homo sapiens (human) is the source of this 3022-nucleotide long non-coding RNA. RefSeq lists it as uncharacterized. The record is from RefSeq and is a predicted model, not a curated record. Lineage: Eukaryota; Metazoa; Chordata; Mammalia; Primates; Hominidae. The transcript is spliced from 4 exons.
CAAAAAAAAACAAAAAAAAACAAAAAAAAAACUUGAGAAGCACUAUUAUAGAGCACAAAGCCUUGACUUACAGCUAAGCCUCAAAAUGAUUGAAGCCAGAACUUAGCCACCAAGAACUAAGACUGUACAAAUUCAUUGAACUGUACAUUUAAAUUGUGUGCACUUCAUUGUAAAUUGUACCUCAAUUAAAAAGAAAAAGAAUCAACCAAGAAGUUAGAGAAAAACAUCAGAAAGAAUGAAUUAAGAAAUAUACAAACAAAAAAUUGGGAAAAAUGGAAAGCAAAGAAACAGUAGAAUUAAUUUUAAAACUACAUCACAUGUGGGCUGAUAGAUGCAGCAAAGCACCAUGGCGCAUGUUUACCUAUGCAACAAACCUGAACAUCCUGCACAUGUAUCCUGGAACUCUAAAUUUAAAAAAAUACAUCACAUGAUUUUUUUCCCCUGUUGGGGAUUGGUUUGACUAUAAUAAAAUAGGUAAAUAAACAGUCUAAUAGAGAAGAGGAAAUGGCAGAGGAAAAAAAAGUCAAGUAAUUAUGACUAAGAAAGGGGAAGAAAUCAUAAUUAAAGAGUAAAUUAAAAUAGUAAGUCUUUGUGAACUAACAAAUUAAAUCCAGGUGAAAUGGAUACUACUUCCAAGGAAACACAAAUCACCAAAAUUGAUACAAGAAGAAUUUUGAGUUAAGAAGUCUAAUAAACUUGUAAAAAUAAAAACUAUGAGAAUAUUAGGGAAAAACUAUGACUAAGAAAAGGACCAGAGGAUUUCACAUGAUAAUUUUCAACUCCCAAAGAAACUAGUCGUUCUGUUUCUAUUAAAACUGCUUUUAGACCAUAAGUUUUAAAAAUCUAUUUUUUUCAUAAAUUGAGUAUUUUGCAUUACUCUGAUAUCCGAAUAAGACACUUGAAAAUCUUAGUAAUGUAUCUUGCUGUGAGGUGGUAACUGGUGUCAGACUUGUUCUCCUACCUCCUCAACUAAAUUUAUGAAAAAAAUGGUUUCAGACAUUGAGAAACUGGCAACACAAGGUUUUGAUCCUUGGAAAAGGGAAACAAUUGAAGUGAACACCUAUAUAUCUGAACCAGGAAGGGCUUGAAGUAUGUUAACCACUGAAGCUUUGCAAAAUGAUCAAAAGGAAAAAAAAAAUGAGUCUGUCACUGUCCCUAAUAAAAAGAAGGAUGGCAUCAGCUGUAGAGGAAAUAUGUCUCCAGACUUCAGAGGCCAAAGACUAAAUAGAUGAUUUAUAGCUGGACACAGGGUUAGAAUGAAAAGUGAAGAAUCUUUAUUUUUUGAAAUAGUACUUAACUUUAAUGUUAGACUAGUGAAUAUGCUUUUGAGAAGCCAAAUAGAACAGAGAUACAUGACACAUCAGUAAGAGUUUUGCUUGAGGACAAAAGACACACCUAAGCAAAGCUAAUACAUUUCAGUGACUGGAUUUUGGUACUGGAAAGGAAAUUUGGAUUCAGCCAGAAUCCAUAUCCUGCCUUCUUCUCCUUGGGUACCAAAGGCUUCCGGAAACCAGAGACCCAGAGGUGAUAUCCCACCCAUCAACAAGCAAAGAGGGGCAAUUUACUGUCCAAACUCAAAAAUAGUAUCUUGAAGAAAAUUAUAGAAGGGACUAAAAAUUCUUAUUAGCCGUAUGUGAUAUUAUGACUUAAUAUAUAUAUUGAUUUUCAUCCACAGUUCCUGCCUCGUAAUUCCCUUAGCCUUUGUUACAGUCUUUUGUUAUAAUGUUGGGGUGCUUUAGGCCUCAGGAACAGGCCCCAGGAAACAAUCUCUCUCUCUCUCUGAUCUCCUGGCCUCCUUUUACCUGUUCAAGGUGAGACUACAAACUGAUUGUGGGUACAAAGAACCUCAUUCUAGAGAGGGUCCUUCUUCAGGUUCAAGAAGAAUCUGAAGAGACAGGUCUUGCUAGUUUUCCCCACUCAGUGUGACAUCAUACCCUUUUUGUCCAGUCACAUUUCUACAUGGUUGUCAAUCAUGCCUAUGUAAUAAAGGCUCCAUAAAAACCCAAAAAGACAGGGUUUAGAGAGCUUCCAAAAUAGCUAAACACAUGGAGGUUCCUGGAGGGUGGUGCACCCAGGGAUGGCAUGGGACCUUUGCACCCCUUCCUUCAUACCUCUCCCUAUGCAUCUCUUCACCUGUAUCCUUUCUAAUAUUCUUCAUACUAAACAGGGCUAAGCUCAAGACCCAGGUUUGGCAAAUGAGUACAUCACAGCUGCUCUAGCAAGGGAAUAAAUUCGCCAAUGACCAGAUGACCCAGUUGGUUAAGGCACAGCAUUCAACUCCCCCAGAGGAUGCAGCAUCAAAGUGCCAACUUGCAAGCAGUGAGAAGCUCUUAAAAGACAGCUGAACCUGCAGCUCCUUGAUCUUGGACUUUCUGUCCUCCAGAACUGAAAUUUGGUGCUAAGUCUAGUGAGUUGGACAUGGCCAUUCGAUGGAGGCUCCCAAGAACAAUGAAGUCAGGCAUCUAUUCUUUCUCUCACUGUGACUGUGAUGACCUGGCCGAGGCAAACACUUUCAGGUAGGUGCUCAGAAGAGACUUUAAAAUGAGACGGCAGAUUUUACUUUUAGAAAUAUGAACAAAGAACUGAAUAAGAUGCUAAAAUAAGAGAUAAAUUAUGCAAAUGCCUAUAAUAAUGAACAUUUCAUAGGUCUUGACAUUGAAAAAUUGUAAGGUGAGAGUUGUAGGUAAGAGAACUCCAAAGAGAAAUGAAUGGGUAAUGAAAGAUAGGACCUGGAAGGCCUAGAUGUAGGUCUGCUCCACUCAUUGAACACACCCAACAAGCUCCUAACAUGCUCCAGGCACUAUGCGGCGCUGCAGGAGACAAGGUAUGGGCUGUGUCCUCUCAGGGAGUUAUUCGCAAGAAGACAUGAUGAAUUCUCUUUCUCUAGGUCAAAUGACCAAAUAUGUUUUGAUUUUAAACAUUGUAAGAGAAUAAUACGGAAAAGUGUAAUAAGAUUAGAGAUCUCAAAGUUCCUGUCUUAGUUUGGUGCAAAAGUAAUUGAAUUUUAAAUCAUUAUAACGAG